UUGGCCUAACUUCUGAAAAAAUGAUUUCUUUAAAAGUGAUUUUGGUUUGGAGAAUGGAUUUUGGUGAAAAGCUGUAGAGCGUUUGGCCGAGUUUAGGUAAAAACGAUUUUUCUAAAGUGAUUUUCUAAAACUGUUUGGCAAAAUAUUGUUGAUAUUGCAUACAUUAAUAUUUUUACAAAAUUUUAUUUUAAAAUAAUUUAAAAUUUGAGUUAAAAUUAAAAAUUUAAAUUUGAAUUUAAAUUAAAAAUUUAAAUUUGAAUGAAAAUUAAAAAUUUAAAUUUCAAUUAAAAUUAAAAUUUUAAAUUUGAAUUUAAAUUAAAAAUUUAAAUUUGAAUUAAAAGUAUAAUUUUUAAAUUUCAAAUUUGUACAAAAAAUAAAUUUGAAAUUUUAAAAUUUAAAUUUUAAAUUUUGAAUUUUUAAAUAUAAAUUUAAAAUUUCAAUUUUUCAAUCUGAAUUUAAAUUUUGAAUUUCAAAUUUAAAAUCUAAAUUUAAAAUUCAAAAUUUAAAAUUUAAAAUUUAAGAAUUGAAAUUUGAAAUUCAAAAUUUAAAAUUUAAAAUUUAAGAUUUGAAAUUUGAAAUUCAAAAUUUAAAAUUUAAAAUUUAAAAUUUGUAUUUUGAAAUUUGAAAUUUGAAAUUUAAAAUUUAAAAUUUAAAAUUUGAAUUUUGAAAUUUUAAAGUAAACUAAAAUUUUAAAUUUGAAAAUUUUAAAUUUAAAUUUUUGAAUUUUGAAAUUUAAAAUUAAAAUUUAAAAUUUGAAUUUUGUAAUUUGAAAAUUAGAACUUGUA
This 785-nucleotide long non-coding RNA is filed under the name Ananas comosus (pineapple). Its description in RNAcentral is "long non-coding RNA (ACOM_LNC042432)". The record is from RNAcentral. Lineage: Eukaryota; Viridiplantae; Streptophyta; Magnoliopsida; Poales; Bromeliaceae.